CCCAGUUUUUGAUUUUCAAAAUCUGGUCACCCUGCAUUUAGUAGAUAAUCUAUGUUUUGAUUGCAGGUCAAAACACACUUCUAAUGGCUGACAACCACUAGAGGGUGCUUCCAUGGCAACAACUGAGUUUCGGUUAUGUAAAAUUCAGAGUUGAACGUCAUCAAAUGCUAAUCACAGGGAAGCAUUGGAUUCAAUGCUUCCCUAUGAGAAGCAUUUAUU
Molecule: non-coding RNA, 219 nt
Organism: Pelobates cultripes (western spadefoot toad)
Lineage: Eukaryota; Metazoa; Chordata; Amphibia; Anura; Pelobatidae
Source: the annotation of a GenBank genome assembly